AGAAUAAUAUUUCCUCACUUUUUUAUUAUUAUCUUGAAACAUGGACAGUACAUAAGAACAAUUUAUUUCAUUAAUUUCCUCACAGCUAAGCUCCUGAGAAAACAAACGCUUGUUCCAAGUAAAUUUGUCAACUUUCAAGUACAAUCACAGACGUGGGCCUUGCACUUGCAAUCGCAUUCUGGGCAUACCACUUUACAAUCAGCGUCAAUUGUGCAUUGAACACUAUCUGUCUUGGCCUCAUUCGUUAUUUCCCUUGCUUCUGUUCCAUGUCCUAAACCUGUACGUACAUUACAUAAACAUACGAGCAUCAAUAUUCACAUUAAAAAAAAAAAAAAAAAAAACUAAAGAUAAAGUAGUCACAAAAAUAAUGUGCAACUCGAUCGGGUUUAAGCAUUACCCGGUUGAGUAUAUACUCAAUGCAUUUUGUCAGCUUUUUAGUCUCUUUAUCAUUUUUUGUUUACAUAUGUAAUGUUAGCUUCACGGAUUUGGAAACUAAAAGCAAUAUGGUGUUGAUUUAACACACCUAAAUCACAAAGAAACGUAAGCAAAUCAGAGAUUCUUACAUGAAGCAGUAACAAUUAGGGCCACCAAGAAAGUUAACUUUAGCAAAGAUUUCUCCAUUGUCUCGAGAGAUAAAAUUACCUAUGAAUUUUAAUGUGAUUGUAAAA
This 668-nucleotide long non-coding RNA is filed under the name Citrus sinensis (sweet orange). Its description in RNAcentral is "long non-coding RNA (CSIN_LNC001320)". The record is from RNAcentral. Lineage: Eukaryota; Viridiplantae; Streptophyta; Magnoliopsida; Sapindales; Rutaceae.